This 670-nucleotide ribosomal RNA is filed under the name Helvella acetabulum. RNAcentral's name for it is "eukaryotic LSU rRNA". It matches the Rfam family "Eukaryotic large subunit ribosomal RNA", at positions 119 to 796 of the family's 3401-position model. The record is from RNAcentral. Lineage: Eukaryota; Fungi; Ascomycota; Pezizomycetes; Pezizales; Helvellaceae.
AAUCUGGGGCCCCCAGGCCUCCGAGUUGUAAUUUGGAGAGGCAUCUUCGGGGAGGGGGCGCGGGCCCAUGUUCCUUGGAACAGGACGUCGCAGAGGGUGAGAAUCCCGUGCCAGGCCGGCUGCCUCCGCCCCAGUGAAGGGCCUUCGACGAGUCGAGUUGUUUGGGAAUGCAGCUCCAAGUGGGUGGUAAAUUUCAUCUAAAGCUAAAUACCGGCGGGAGACCGAUAGCGCACAAGUAGAGUGAUCGAAAGAUGAAAAGCACUUUGAAAAUAGAGUCAAAAAGUACGUGAAAUUGUUGAAAGGGAAGCGCUUGAGACCAGACUCGGACCCGGGCAAACAUCGCGCCCCCCGGGGCCGUGCAAUUGCCUGGGGCCGGGCCAGCAUCGGUUGGCGUGGCGGGACAAAGGCGCGGGGAAUGUGGCUCCCCUCGGGGAGUGUUAUUAGGCCCGCGCCCAAUGCCGCCUACGCCGACUGAGGACCGCGCCGCCCGGCUAGGAUGCUGGCUUAAUGGCCUUCAGCGACCCGUCUUGAAACACGGACCAAGGAGUCUAACAUCUAUGCGAGUGUUUGGGCUUGAAACACUUGCGCGGAAUGAAAGUGAGCGGAGGUGGGAACCCCCCCGCGGGGCGCACCAUCGACCGAUCCUGAUGUCUUCGGAUGGAUUUGAGUA